AUCCCCUCCUCUGAAACCAAAUAAUCUCCAUAAAAGAAAAAAAAAACAAGAAUAAGAAACAGGAUUCACAAUGGCCAAGUACACCAUCAUCGCUGCCUCUGCCCUCUGCUUCUUGACCUUGGUCGGUUCUGCUUACUCCCAGGACCGCUUCUUCAUUGAGGGCACAGUUUACUGUGACACUUGCCGCACCCAGUUCCUCACCAGGGUUAGCGAGUUCAUGUCAGGUAAACACAUGAUUGAUUUUAGAUUAUAAUAUUAAUCGUAACAUGAAACGAUAAUGUAUUCUAACUUUCAAUAUAAGUUCGAACUUCAUUUGAAAACAAAUAGAUCCUUAAUCAAUUAUUCAUGAAUAAUUUUAUAUUAUAUUUUUAACAUAUGUAUUAACGCAAGGAGCUGUUUAGGCGUGAAACGUGAACAAUGUAGAGACUCGCCUCGAACUAUAUACUAUUUGGUCAUUGAGUUUUUUGUGACACAUAUCAUGAACCAAUUAUCUUGUGGUUUGAAUCCUCUCGUACAAGAUCCUCUUCAGCAUCCAUCCUGCAAGUUUUUAACCAUUGAUUUUUAAAUCAAUUUCUAAUUAGGUUAAUCAAACAACUUAUUUAUUAAAAUAUGUAAAAGUAAUUUCAGUAACGUCAAAAAAAAAAAAAAUCAGUGCUAGACUGAAGGAGAGGCUGAACAGGAUACAAAUUCACUAUCUUGAUAAAAAAAAACAUAACUCAACUGUCUUAAAAGUUUGCUAAUACUUUGUAAGCGACAUGUGGUCUUAGAAAUAUGCCUUAGCCCGAGGAUAAUCAGAACCGAACAAUUUUCGUUCAUCUCAAAAGUCAUAACCUGCAUUUUGUAAUAUCUAUACUUACUAUAAGAAACUAUUAAUGUGGCUAUUACCAUGGUGAAGGUGCAACCGUGGGUGUGGUGUGCAGAGAACGUGAUGCUGGUGCCAAGGUGACAUUCAGCAAAGAGGCAGUGACCGACGCUAACGGAAUGUACAGCGUUGCGGUGGACGGAGACCACGAAGAUGAGGUUUGCGAGGUGAAGCUUCUCAAGAGCAGCAGGGCUGACUGUUCAGAGGUUGACACUGAGUCACACCUUGAACAGGCUUCCAGGAUCAGCAUCACCAACAACAAUGGCAUCGUUUCCCCUGUCCGCACUGCCAACCCACUUGGUUUCUUGAAGACAGAGCGUCUUCCUGAGUGCGGUCACAUCCUCCUUCAGCUUGGUCUUCAUGAGGAUGGCUCACUCAAACAUUAAAUUAUUAAUUGAUGAAUAUAAAAGGGGAGGGGGAUCUAACCUCUUUGUAUGAUCAUGAUAUGAUGUAAUAUUGUGAGAAUUAUAUAUAUAUAAGCUUGGCCUUGAAUUCUCUGAAAAAAAAUGGGAUCUUUAUCUAUAACUCACUUGAUAGAUCAUAUAUUGAUCUCUAGGCACUUUUCUUUUUUACAGUUAAAAUAUGCUUCAUUUAAAUUAAAAGAGGAUACAUCCAAUCUCAUAAGAGAAUGCAAAUCAUGAGGAAAAUCCUCUACCAAAACAUGAGACCGAGAAACAAACACAUUUUUAACUAGGAAAGCAGCGCCACCAUUGCAAUGCCUCAUGAACAAGCUCACACAGGAGAUGAAAGAGUAAGGGAUCGAUUCUAAUUUUUGAAUACGGUUUUAAUUUCUCUCGCAUAUAUGAAAGGAAAGUGAAAAGAGAAUAGAAAAUAAGAUGAUAUUAAGAUUAUUUUGUUGCAGAGAAAUUAAAAAAUAAAAAUAAAAUAAACGAAAAGUAUAUAUUUAUCAAAUGACAUAAACAUUCUUAAGUACAAAUAAAAUAUUAAUUUUUUUAUAAAAGUAUAAUUAAAGACAUCAAUAUAUUAAUAAUAUUAUAUAUAUUUUUAUUAUUUUUUUAAAUAUUUUUAUUACUAUUAUAAAAUAUAAAUAGGGAGGCCAUUUUUGUUAUUUUUGUUCUUGUUGAUAAGCACCAUUUUUGUUAAAUAACCUAAAACACAGUCCUCUCACUCUUGUUUUCUCAUGACCAAGACAAUAGAGAAAAUACUUUUAUGGGCCCCAACUUAAUUUUUCUAUUAUUCUCUUCUAACUUUUUUCCUAGCCAAAGGGAAGAAAAUAUCUUAUGUGUUUUAUUUGCUCCCUUUUCUUUUCUCCUUAUUUUAUUAUGUUACGAUUUUUUUGUUUGUUUGAUAAAGUUGAAAAGCAUACCAAAGAGAACUUGUUUAAUUUUUCAAUUAAUUAGUUGAUCUGGUGCAAAAAAUGUUCAACUUUCCAUAUCCAAAUCUGAUGAUUAAGAGAUAAAGUGAGCUAAUUACACCGUUAUAUCUUAUAGUUAAGAAUUCAUUUACGAAGAAUAGAACUCAUCUAAUUGCAUUAUUACUAUAAUAAAGUAAUAAAUUUGACCACAAUUAUUGUUAGAAAACAUAUGAUACAGGAAGCUUUAAUUUGUCUUAUUUUAUUACUAAUUUUUCCAUUUUUUUUGUAUUAAUUUCGUAGUGCAACAAACUGAUCGGCCGGCCUAUAGUAUAAAGUAUAAACUAUAAAGGCAAGUUGUGAAUAAGAAAAGACUGAGUGAGAUUCCCUAAUUAAAGAGAUAAGAAUAGUUAAACUACAAUUUGCUCUCAAAUUAUGAUCAUGUAUAGGAUUAAUUAACUAUUUAAAUUUUGUCUCUUAGUGUUUCUCACUUGACCAUUUCAUCAAUUCACGUUUACAUUAAUCGCUUUUAGCGGAUCGCAAGUCAAAGCAAAUGAAUUAAUGCACUUGAAUUAAUUCUAAUAAUAAUCAUUCAUGUAUGAACUAAGCAUGUAGGUGAGAAACAAUCUGAACCGUUCAAGUACUUAAUUCACAGCGUAGCGUGGUUGAUUUAUUUGCUUCGCCAUUUUUGGUCGCGGUUCACAUCACAUAUAUCUUCAUAUAUAUACUCUAGAUAAGCUUUAAUUAAAUUAAAUUAGGCCGUCACUAUCCAGUUUCAAGAGCCUCCUUUAAUUUGUUUGUAUCUGAUUUCUGAUGUUAAUGUAACUUCCUGGAUGAUCUUGAUAUGACAACCUUUUAUCGUUUAUUGGCCUUCAUGCCGAGCUAUGGUAACGAAAACAAAUCUCUUAAGAUAUCUUUUGACUUAUAAUGAACAGAGGUAGUAUGUCAUUUUGUUAACACUUUUUUCACACAUCAUUCAUCUUAUAAUAGAAAUAAAGAAAAUAGAAAAUAAAAGAUACAAUAACUCAUGUGAUAGAAAAGAAACGGAUCAGACACAUAGAUAAAGAAGAUAAGGAUAAAUUGUGAUUGAUUGUUGAAUUUAAGAAUUAAUUAUUAAGAUUAAAAUAUAAAAUCAUGUUACAUAACAUUUUUAAGUUGUCACACUGUUAAAUUAGCCUUAUUUUUAUCUUAAUCAUUUAUAAUUGCAUCUAAUAAUCACAAUUUACCAUAAAAACAACAUUCUCACAUAUUUGUUUUCCUAUCUUUAUCUUCUAAUAUGGAGUGUGUAUUGUAUACACAUUCCCAUGAAUAUCCAAUCAUCUUAAUUAUUUAUCCUGCUUACAUAGACUUUCUAUACUCAUUCAAUUUUUUUAAGGCAAGAAAAUCAAACUAAAAAAUCUCAAACUAAGGGAGACGACUUAUGCCCACCAAAUAAGGAAAAAAGAAGUAAAAUAAACAUUCCAUAUUUUUCAAUAUAACACUAAACAAAAGAAAGAAAAAGAGUAUGGCUGUUAAUUAACAAGGUUGACCACCUGAGCCCGCGGUGGUUCUCGGCCUUUUAGAUGGAAAAAGUUGUCGGAAAUCACCAUGAAACAUGGCGGCAGCCUCGUGCCAUUCACGAUGAGUCCCCAAACCUAGCUGCUCGACGGUGGCAGAUGCAUCACAUAUGCUACCACCACCGUCCAGCAACUCGUCGCACGACGGCCUCAUCUUUCUCCGGCCGGCCCCUACGGGCACGUUGCGGAGGGCCCCGCCGGCCGUCCAGUACCUCUGGCAGCCCUUGCAGAAAUGCCUUGGCUGAUUAACGUUGUAGUUGUUGAAGUAGCAAAACUUGGUCUCCAUGCUCUUGCAUCUAGGGCAUGGUAUGAUUUUAUCAGGCUUUUUCUCCUGAUCUCUCUCUUCUCCACUUCCCUUUUUGUCUUCACUUCUUUCUCUAGUUUCUCUACCUCCAUGCAACGUGAUUGUUGUGCCAAACAGCUUAAUCCCUUCACUGUCUUGGCCACUUUGUACCUGAGCCAUUUUAAAGAGAGAUAGAGAGGGAGAGAGGUUUGAGAAGGAAAUAUAAAUGGUGGAACCGUGGAAGUGCUUUUCUAUAUAUCAUGUGGAUGAUAAACGCCAAAAACGUAGGUGGAAUAUAAAGUGCGUUGCCAAAUUAAAGUAAAGAAAAAGAGAAAAAAGAAGAAAAGUGGGAAAAAGGCUUUGAAAAGCUACGGAUGAGCUUUUUGUACACAUCAUUUGUCUAUAAAGCUGGCCCAAUCCAGGUAGAUCGCUUGUAAAUUGUAAAAGGUGGCGAUAGUUUGACCCAAAAAAAAAUUGGGAUAGUUAUAUAUGUUAAAAGGGGUUGUCUAAAUGACUCAUGAUCAAGUUUGGGUUAAAUAACUCAUCAUCCAAUCACAUUGGAGAUAAGUGAGUUGGAAUUUUUAUAUUUUAUUUAUUAAUUUAUUUCCAACUCAUUUAUCUCAAAUGUGAUUGGAUGAUGAGUUAUUUAACUCAAACUUUAUUAUGGGUCAUUUAGACAACCCCUAAUUAAGAUUAGGCUAAAAAGCAUUUUUGGCCCCUGAUGUUUCAAGUUUGUGCAAAUUCUGCCCCUAUCUAUUUUUGUCGAUGUUUCUACCCAUCAUGUUUUCAAACAGUGCACCGUCUACCCCUGACGGAGGGGUAGACGAUGCACUGUUUGAAAACAUGAGGGGUAGACGAUCCACUGUUUGAAAACAUGAGGGGUAGAAACAUCGACAAAAAUAGAGUAGGGGCAGAAUUUGCACAAACUUGAAACAUCAGGGGCCAAAAGUGCAUUUUAGCCUUAAGAUUAUGGUGCCAUAAAAUGAAGGUGGUUUCUUUUUCGUCUCUUAUCCGAGAAAAGUUUGGUUCUUAUUAAUACGACUUAAGAAAAAUUGACUUUAUUCUUCACAUGAGCCAAGAGCUUAAGGUGAUUCUACGAAGUGUCUGGCGACUGGCAAAGCACACUACAUAUAAUAUUUAUUCAAAAUUUAUGUUAUACAUAUAUACUUAAAAGUUAAAUAAAAAUUAUUAAUUAAAAACAAAAUUACAAAAAAAACACUUGACUCUUAAAUAUUACGUUUAUCAAUGUUCUUGAGUUCUUCAUCAAGGUAUCUCACAUCAUCCACCUCAUCCCCACUUCAUCACCAUCUUAUUCUUCAACAACAUUUCUCUAGUAAACAUAGCUCACUUCACCUUCUUCUUCCCAUCAUGAACCUCAAAAAGGGAAACCUCCAAAUCUAGAAACCUAGCAAACCCCAACUUAAUCUCACUUGGCGAGUGGGUUUGAGUUGGGGAAAGGGGAUGGGUUUCAAAUUAUUUUCAUACCAUAUACUAUUCUACUCAUGAGUAAUUGGGAUGUGCCUCCAAAUAAGUGUUCCUAGCUAGCUUGACUUUUUGUGCCUUUUUAGAAAGGGCAGUGGAACUAUAUAAGUUGGUCACGAUUCACAUUUUAAUAUUAGUUUGUUUAAUAAAUUAUUAUGCACUUGUAAAAAAAGUUUUACAUUAAUAUUUUUUAAAGAGUUACAUUAAUGUUACCUCAUCAGAAUCUAUUAAUUUGUCAUAUUAUAAUUAAAUUUGAAUUUAAAUCAUUUUAAAUGAAAAAUAAAGAGAUGUGAGGAUGCAUGCGCAAAACUCUUUACACAAUAAGUGCAUACCAAUUAAAUCUUUUUAAUAUUGUGCAAUUUCCAUUGGCUUUAUUGAUUGUUAUAGUUGCAUGCUCCUAAUGGCAUUUGGUAGCACUUUUGACAAGAGUACAGGUAGAUUUUCAGUAAACUUUUUGACGAGUUUGUUAAACUUUUUUUUUCUUUUUCAAAAAACUUUAUAAAUUAAAAAGUAUUUUAAAAAAUAUGUGAUGUUUGAUUAAUUCUCAAAAAGGAAAUAUCUAAAAAGUGGCUUUAAUAAUUCUACAAAAAAAAAGUUUUAGAAUGUAAAUAUAACUUAACAUUUUGAAACAAUUCUUAUGAAAAGGAGGUUCUUUUAUAAAAAAAAAAUGUUUACACGCCCACCUUGCAUCUUUUCCAUGAAUUGUUUUUUGAGUCGUGGGUCAGGUUCCGGCUUUUUAUAUAAUAUUUCAUAUGCCCUUUCUUUACUAAAGGAGUUUUAAUAUACUUAAUUUGGAAAGUAAUCACAUUUCCAACUCAUUACCGUGUUCUAUAAUGAAGACAAGGAAGCAUCAUUUGCUUUCUUUUAUCGAUAAAUGAUACACUUUUUCAUGAGAUUCAUCAAAGUGAAUCUUAUGAGAACCCCUCAAGCACUAUUGGACAGUAAAAGAGUAAAAGAUUGAAUUUAAAAGACUUAACUCAACUAGUUUAUAUAAAUGGUGAGGAUUUUACAUUCCAUAUAUUUAGCCUCCAGCUAUCCAAAUAGGGCCAAUUUGAACCGGACUUGAGCAAACUGAUGAUUUUUUAAUGAAUGGGCCAAUUUGGUUCGGCCGCGGGUUUGUCCGAUCCCAUUUUAUGGAUUCAUGAGGAUUUAAUCGGUCAGUUUAGUUACUUGUGAGAAAUAAGUGUAAGAAUAAUGAAUGAAAAGUACUAAAAAAAUUUGAGCUGUUGAUCUCCAUUUCCUUCUGUUGAUUUUAUUUUCUGCAAUUAUUUAGUUUUAUUUGUUUCUGCGGACCUUUUGGCCUCUAUGUCAGUCCAAGUUUAAUGUGAUUCAGUCAUCUUUCAAAAAAAGAAGACAAAAACUGCAACUGUAUUACUGGAAAAAUCAAACAUGAUUACAACAACGAGAGAUUAAUAACUAUACAUUAAUUAAUACGGUAUGUAAUUACAUGAUUACUAUUUAGUGUAUACUAGCUAAUUAAAUUCUUGACAAAAUUUACCUAUGACGAUUGAUAUCGAUGAUAAAGAAGAUCACCGCCACAAGACAACCGAGAAAGAAGAAACAGUAAACAGCUUUCCUGAAAUGAAGUCAAACAACAAAUUAAUUAGGCCUUAUAAGUAAUUGUGAGACUACAGAGGAAACAAGAAGAUUUACCAAACUCCCGUUCCACACAAUGGUUCCAAUGUAGUAUUCCUCUCAUAUUUACGCGAUGGAACAUAAUUCUUUGAUGCAAGUUGAUGAGGAUAUUCAACAUCAACACAAAUAACGUUCUCAACAGAAGUGGUGGCUUUUGCUGCAUCCUUAAUAUGACUCAUUUUUCCAGUUCUGGUACCUCUAUCAAUUUGCAAGUUUGUAGCCUGCAAAUUAAAUCUUGUAAGCAACUUUUAUAGUUACAAAUGCAUUUAAGCCAUUAACGUAGAUGAACAUCAGGGGAGAUAAGUUUGGAAUGAUUCUUAAUUUCUUAUGGUUAUGGAAUCAUCAAAUUGUAAUACUUCCCAUAAUUAGUCACAUUCUCACAGCAAAUCGUAGCAGUUAAUUAAAAUGUUAUUUGAUUUUAUUUUCGAUGGUGGUGAUUUGGAUUUUAAUGAAGUAGCUAUCCAAUGAUUUAUUUUAUUAAAUCUUGUCCUUUCAUGCAAAGAAAAAAAAUCUUGUCCUUUUCACUUGUGUUUUAGGUUAGUUGAAGAAUUAUUAUUUGUUCAAUACCUCAUGAUCAUCCUAAGUUGGCCAAUCGUUUAAAAAAAGUGUGUUGACGAUGGAAGAACGGUGGUGACAAAGACGAACCUUAUGUGAACUUGGUGGAUUUCUCCUUCCUGGUAGCUCAACUUGCACUUUGGGAAUGGGUCCUGCAUAAGAGUCUCUGACUGUUUUUAUGCCGUUGGUCGGUCGAAUCAAAAGUCCCCUAACUCUGGUUCUUACCGAGAGUGAGAAGGAAGGGUCAGGAGUCCCCUAACUUUGAUCCUUACAGAUAGUGAGAGUCAAGGAGUGAAGUAUUUUUUUUUUGGCUUAAAUAAGUUUUUGGUCCCUAACCUUUACCAUUAUUUGGUUUUCAUCCCUCGUCGGAGCAAAGGUGAGCUUUGGUCCCUAAACUUUGUCAAAAUAUUUGGUUUUCAUCCCUCCGGCCGUUCGGGUCAACGCCAGAGCUCCGGGAAGCUCAUGUGGCAUUGUCACGUCAUUUAAUGAGCUGAGGUGGAAUUUUUAUUUCUUUUUCAUUUAAAAAAAUAAAAAAUAAAAACACUAAUUAACCUAACCCAGAUCUACAAAGAAAAACUCAGGAUUCAUCAUCUCUUCUUCUUCUUCAACAUUCAACAGUCAACACCAGUGCCUCUGAAGGUGAAGAAAACCAACCCCAGCGCCUGAUCUCGUCUCUCCGUCUGGCCCGCACCGCACACCGUCUCUCCGUUCGCCGUUCUGGAUCCACCUCAAAACCCACAACCCACUACCCCUCAGAACCCAAAUUUCCUAGAUAUACGACCGCCACGACCCAAACUCUGAAUAAUCUUCGUUUUCGUCUUCAACCUUGAAGCGUGAAGCUUCAUUCGUGCUCUGGCAGAACUGGGUGGAGAAUAUGGGUUUUGUGGGUGGAGAAGAGAAAAUGGGUUUGAACAUUGACUUCACGAUGGGAGCAGAAUCAGGAUUCAUUCGAUUUGAAGAAAGUGCAGUCCAAUUCUACAAUUUUCAAAAUACCCAAAUCUGGUCCAACCUUGUGCUCCGACAACCAUGGUUACCUCGUAUGUUAUGCUGCAAUGAGGACUUAGCAUUGUGCGACUGAGAAAGCUGAGUAGGAUGAGGGGUAUACGCAUGAGACAGUGUAGGUGAAAAGAGAACUUCAUGCUCUUAGAAGCCUGGGCCCUUGGCCAUCUCAUCUUUUCUUCUUGUUUUUAUCGAGCAUCUCUGUUUUUGCUCUGUUUCUAUUUUCUUCUCCCCUUCUCUUUUCUGAUUUCUUGUUUUUACCUGUACAAUUUUUGCACCUCUGGUGCUUAUUUAUAUAAUUAAUUGGUUUAUCCCAAAAAAAAAAACCAACAACAGCACAAAAGGAGUACCUUUUCUCAUUGGAAGUCCAGCCAAUACCGGUAGAUGAAGAUGACUUGCUGGGUUUUAUUCCCAUGAAGAUGAAUUGCUUGAUUUUACCUUUUAAUGUUGGCUUAAAUUAUUAAUUUAGGUGAGGGAUUAGUUUGGGUUAAUUGGGUUUUUAAUUAGUGAGUUAAGAGUUUUUAAUUAUUGUACUAAGUUAACUAAGUUAAUUUCCUUUUUAAAAAAAAAACCAGCUGGCCUCAUUAAUCCCAUGUGGCAUUGUCACAUGGGCCAUCGGAGCUCCGGCGUUGACUCAGAGCUUCGAAGGGAUGAAAACCAAAACUUUUGGCAAAGGUUAAGGACUAAAGCCCACCUUUGCUCCGGCGAGGGACAAAAACCAAACAUACGGUAAAGGUUAGGGACCAAAAACUUAUUUAAACCUUUUUUUUUUUUUUUGAUAAUUUGGAGGGUCUGAGACCCCAAGGAGUGAAGUUAUGGCCAACUAGCACAUGAAAUUCAAUACGAUUCAUUUUGGCUGGAAUGGCCGAGGACACAGUGAUAUACUAUUUUUUAAAACGAUAAAUCAAAAGAAGUCUAAGCCAGAUUUUAAACAAAUGAGCAAAAAAAAGUCCCUAAAAUUGAACUGUAUAGGUUGGGUUACUUAUAGGGGACCUCUAGUAUAAACUAGUAUGUAUACCCGUGCCGAUGCACGGGGACAUAUUUCCAAGUAUAUAAUAAUUUGCUUUUAAUAUAUAAAAUUAUUUAUUUUGUAUGAAUGAACAAAAAAAUCUAAAUAUAAUUUAUUGUGUUUUUAAUUUGUUUAUGAUAUAAUAAUACAGUAAUGUGUAUGAUUUUUGUUUUUAUCCUUUUAUUUUCGUUUCUCAUAUCUCCGAAUAAAAUGAUAGAAAAUAUGACUGACAUAUUAAAUUACAUUUUUUUUACACUAUAUCAUUGUGAUUCCCUAAAUAAUUAUACACAAUUUAUAACGUACGGAAAGUACGAUAGAAAAAAUUGAUCACAUUAAAUUACAUUUUUUUACACUAUAUAAUUUUGAUUUCAUAAUCCCGAAAUAAAUACGGACAUUUAAAAAAAUAUAUAAAGAAUGAAACAUAUAGCUCAUUCGGAGCAUUUGAAACGAAAGCUUUGAAAUGAGGAUAUGCGGAAAAAGAUGCAGAAGCUUUCAUGUAAUUUGUGAAUUGCUCUUUCUCUCUCCCUCUCCUCUCCCCCUCCCCCUCCCCCCUCCUCCUCCUCCUCCUCCUCUCUCUCUCUCAUUCAACCCAUUAAAUUAUAAUAAAAUUUGUUUUUUUGUUUAUUUUAAUUAGAAAUAAGUUAAUGUAAACGUUCUUCCUCGACGGAUCCUAUUUUCACAAUCAAAUUGUAAUGCUUUUGUAUAUAUACUCUUAAAAAUAUUUAAAAAGUCUAGAAAAAAAUAUGAAAAUUAUAUUAAAAUAUUUUCUAUUAGUUUUAACUUGAAGGUAUUUUCUUGCAAAAUGGUUCUCAUCGUAUCAACAUUUUACCAUGUAACCUACACCAAUAAAAAGAGACUAUAUAUUUUCAAUCCCUGUGUGACUAUAUAUUUAUAUAUAUUUACUUCUUAAAAUUUAAUUUUGAUUAUUUUUAACUUGAAAAUAUUUUACUGUAAAUGUCCUUCCCUGUGAGAUUCUCAUUUUCACAAUCAAAUUGCAACGCUUCUGUAUAUCUACUCUUAUAAUUAUUUAAAAAGUCUGAAAAAAGUACUAAAAUUAUAACAAAAUAAUAUUUAUAUUAAUUUCAACUUGAAAGUAUUUUCAUGAAAAAAUUUCCUCCCAUAUGAGCUUCUUAAAAUAUAACUUAAACAUAAAAAAAUUUAAACUAUAUAUCUUCAUUUAUUCCAAUUCUCAUCGAAAUUUCAUUUUUUAUAUAUAUAUAUAUACCUUCAAACUUAUGAAAAAAAUUCUAAAAUUACACUUUUUGUUAUUUUCAAACUUAAAAAUAGUUUAAUAUUUUGAUUGUGAAAAAUAGUUUAGUAUAAAUGUUCAUCUCGUGAGAUCUAUAUUUUCACAAUCAAAUUAAAAUGGUUUUGUAUAUCUACUCUUAAAAUUAUUUAAAAAUAUGGAUUAAGUACUAAAAUUUUAUUAUAACAUUUUCUAUUAGUUUCAAUUUCAAGUAUUUUCAUGCAAAAUGUUCCUCAUGUAGGAAUUUUCUACUAUAUAAUUAAUAAGUAUAGACUAAAUAUGUUUAUUUUUCUCUAAUUCCCCGUGGGAGCCCUAUAUUCAGAAUCAAAUUAUAGUGUUUAUGUAAAUCAAACCGUUUUUAAAGUAUUUUCAUGCAAAAUGUUCUCAUGUAGGAGACUUUUAUUAUAUAAUUAAUAAAUAUAUAGUAAAUAUGUUUAUUUUUCUCUAAUUCCUCGUGGGAGCCCUAUAAUCACAAUCAAAUUAUAAUGCUUAUGUAUAUCUGCUCUUAAAUUAUUUAAAAACGUAUGAAAAAUUACUAAAAUUAUAUAAAACAUUUUAUAUUAAUUCUAACUUGAUAGUAUUUUUAGAUUCAAAAAAAAAAAACUUCAUAGUAUUUUCAUGCAAAAUGUUCUUCAUGUAGGAGCUUUUUACGAUAUAAUUAAUAAAUAUAGACUAAAUAUGUUUAUUCUACUCUAAUUCCCCGUGGGAGCCCUAUAUUCACAAUCAAAUUAUAAUGUUUUAAAUUAUUUUAAAGGGAAUGAAAAAUUACUAAAAUUAUAUUAAAACAUUCUCUAUUAGUUUCAACUUGAAAGUAUUUUCAUGCAAAUUAUUCCUCAUGUAGGAGUUUUUUACUAUAGGCUUAAAUACUCUAGGGGUCCCUGAAAUUGUACCCUGUAUCAAAAUAAGUCCUUGAAAAUUUUUUUUCCGAUUCCGGAUCCCUGGAAUUGUUUUUUUAAUCAGAAUAAGUCCCUACGCCGGAGAAGACGGUGGUUGACGACGGCGGUCAUGGCGGCGCUACGACCAGGGUGUUGGGCCGGCUUCGUCUCGUCCUCAGGAACUCAGUGGUGGUGGUCUCGUGGGCUGGGUCGUCACAGUUGAAGAGAAAAGGCCAGUCGCAAGUUGAUUUCUUCUCGCCGGAAUUUAUGGAGCUUCUCGGUUUCUUCGUUUUAGCUUUGUUUCUUGCGAUUCCUUCGCCCAUAUCAGAUAUAUGAAGGUCUAGGAGUGUUUUAAACAUGUUAUUUCAUGGUUUGUGGAAACAAUGAGGAGGCAACCACUGUCUUCUCCGGCGUAGGGACUUAUUUUGAUCAAACAAAUUUUUCUAGGGACCCGGAAUCGGAAAAAAAAAUUUCAGGGACUUAUUUUGAUACGGGGUACAAUUUCAGGGACCUACAGAGUAUUUAAGCCUUUACUAUAUAAUUAAUAAAUAUAGACUAAAUAUGUUUAUUCUACUCUAAUAAUAUAAUAAUAUUUAAAAAUCAGAAUAAUUAUUCCUAAUUUCCAAUGCUGAAAUAGUUAUAAAACUAUCAAAUUUUAAUUUUUAAGAAGUUUAUUUGAAAUUAAUAAAAAAGUUAGUAUUUUUGUUAACAUAAAUAUUUUACCAGCUGAUUAAUGUAUCAAUACGCUCGUAUACAAACAAUAUUUUAUUUAUAUAAUUUAAUUAAAAAACUUUGUAUCUUCUUAAUCUUUGUUCUCAAAGAUGUGAUUAAUUCAUCAUUUUAUUCUUAAAAAAUAUUUAGUAUCAAAAAUUCAUAUUUAAGGGGAAAAGAUAAUGAGCUAAAGCCAAUCUAAGUGAAUCAUGAUAAAUGCACCAAUCCUCUACAUGGAUACAUUUUUAAUGAACAGAGAUAUAUUAUAUUAACUUUCUGAUACAUAGGCAGGGCCGGCCUUGGGCCUGUGCAAGCAGGCCCACAGCCCAGGGCCUCCAAAAAGAAGGGGCCCCAAAAAAAAAUUUGUGAGAUAUAUUUCUAAAAUAUAUAAAUUAUUAAUGUUCGAAAAUAUUCUAAUAUAGUGAGCUAGUUCAAUGGAUAAGCACUAUGCUCUGGAACCUGUGUGGUACAGGUUCAAAUCCUCCUGGCGGUAAUUUUUUAGCCAUUAAUUCGAAUUUAAAUUCCAAAUUUAUGCAAAAAGUCGGGUCCCUGGGAUUCGAACCCACGAGACGCGAGCUGCAUGGCCAGUAGAUGCGUUGCCAAGCGAACCAACACAUUGCUAGUUAAUAAUUGCGGACAUUAAUUCUAUAUAGCGGUUUUUUAAGAGCUUAAUUAGCAUUGAAAUGUGAAAGGUUUCCUUGGGUUCUUCUACCUAAUUUACUAGAUAAGUGGAUAUUAAUUGGUGAACCAAUUAACUCUGAAAAUGCUUAAUGGGUUAGCAUUGAUAGCAAUUGAGAAUAAUAUGUUGGAGAAUAUACAAUAUGAAAAUUGAUUGAAAGUUUUGCUUCAAAAAAUGCUAGGAGAGAGGCUUUUUUUAAGUAGUUAAAUUUUUUUUUGGAUUAUAUUGACUAGAAUAUGAAAUUUUGUUUAUGUUAGUCACAUAUUUUUGAAGUUGUUGAUGUUAUUUAUAAUUUAAAUAGAUAAUGUUUUUUUUUUUAAAAUUAUUGGGGGUCCAUUUUUAUUAUUUGUCCAGGGCCUCCAAAAUGUCGGGACCGGCCUUGUACAUAGGAAUAAGGAAAAGUCAUGUUUUAGCCUCCAAAUAUAAAUGAAUGCCAAAGCAGCACCUUAACCAACAUAGUAUUCUUUGUAUGUUUUGUCCUCCUUCUUUAUCAUGUUUCAAAAACUAGAAGAUAGAGAAAGCUUCCCUUCGGAUAGAAAGAGAUGUUUCUUUUUAUUGAAGUCAUCAACCUCUAUAUAUUCAUGUUUUCUUUAAAUUGUCCUCCUUCUUUAUCAUGUUUCAAAAACUGGAAGAUAGAGAAUGCUUCCCUUCGGAUAGAAAGAUGUUUCUUUUUAUUGAAGUCAUCAACCUCUACAUAUUCAUGUUUUCUUUAAAGCAAGAGAACUCUGAAAAUUUCUUUCUCAAGUUUAUCAAAAACACUUACAGAAAGCCUUAACAAAAAACAUGCAUCAUUGAAGAUUAAUGUAUUAAAAAAGAGAUGACAAUGCUACAUUUUUUAACAUUUUUUUUCUAGUUCAUUUUCUCUAUCCAAAAUCAUUUCUCCCAUUGACUUCAUAUGUCCAAAAUCAUCGAGUUUCCUUGAUGUAGUUUCAAAGCAGCUCUUCACAUUAUCAAAUCAUGUCAAACCUGUUCAAGCUACGCGUAUUACCUAGGGAAAAUAGUAGUAUUAAAUGCAAAUGAAAAUGUAAUUAAUUACAUUCAGCCAAAGAAACAACCUGGAGCUAUGCACAAUUUUUAAGUAAGUAAAAUACAAUUUCAGUCCUCUCCUCCCUUUUCUAUCUUCUAUAGUCAAAUAAUUUUUUCAUCUUUAAUGGUUUAUCCAAGUGAAAAUCUAAUUACAUUCACUAUCAUGUACCUCUCUUUCCCACUUCCCUGAUGAAUUAUGACCCUAAAUCCCAUCUUCUAGAGCAGUUAUCAUAAUUACUACUAUUAUUAUUUAAGUUUUAAAAUCAAAUGAUCAACAUUGAAGUGCAUACUUUUACACACGACAAACCGUAUUUUAUUUCACGGGAAAAAGUACAAAAUUUUUUAUUAAAACAUUUUCUAUUACUUUCAAUUUAAAGUAUUUUCAUGCAAAAUGUUCAUCAUGUAGGAACUUUGUACUAUAUAAUUAAUAAUUAUUGACAAAAUAUGUUAGUUCUUCUUUAAUCCUCUGUGGCAGCCCUAUAUUCACAAUCAAAUUAUAAUGCUUAUUUAUAUAUACUCUAAAAUUAUUUAAAAAGUAUGGAAAAUUUACUAAAUUGUAUUAAAACAUUUUCUAUUAAUUUCAACUUGAAAGUAUUUUCAUGCAAACUGAUCCUCAUGCAGGAUCUUUUUACGAUAUAAUUAAUAAAUAUAGACUAAAUAUGUUUAUUUUUCUCUAAUUCCUCGUGGGAGCCCUAUAUUCCCAAUAAAAUUAAAAUAUUUAUCUAUAUUUACUCUUAAGUUAUUUAAAAAGUAUGAGAAAAGUACUAAAUUAUAACAAAACGUUUUCUAUAGUUUCAACUUGAAAGUAUUUUCAUGCAAAAUGUUUCUCAUGUAGGAGCUUUUUACUAUAUCCUUGUGGCUACCAUAUAUUCACAAUUAAAUUAUAAUGCUUAUGUAUCUUUACUCUUAAAUUAAUUAAAAAGAGGGGGAAAAGUACAAAAUUAAAUUAAAACAUAUUUUCUAUUAAUUCCAAAUUGAAAGUAUUUUGUUGUAAAAGGUUUCCACUUGUAUGAGCUUUUUAAUAUGUAAACCCUCUAAUUAUUCUCCUUUAAUACAACCGUUGCAAUUCCUACCAAGAAAACAUUUUAAAUUUAAAUUUCCUUAUUUAAAAAAAAAAAAACGUGUAGACAAACAGAGUAAUAUUCUUCUAUAUUCAAAUGAUGUGCAAUGGAGACAAUUAUACCAUAUAAUUAUUCUAUUUUAAAUCAUCAGCACCAUUUCUUAUAUUUUAAUGGACUUAACCCAACACCUUACAGCAAGAGCUAACAACACCUAUGUCCGAGAUCUCGAAGGCACCCCUCUCUUUUAAGAGGAUUCUAAAACUAAUUUCCAUUGUGAAACCCAAUCAAGUUUAUAACUUGAAAGUAUGUUCAUGCAAAAUGUUUCUCAUGUAGGAGCUUUUAUCAUAUAAUUAAUAAAUAUAGACUAAAUAUGUUUAUUUUUCUCUAAUUCCCCGUGGAAGCCCUAUAUUCACAAUCAAAUUAUAAUGUUUUUGUAUAUCUACUCUUAAAUUAUUUAAAAAGUAUGGAAAAUUUAUUAAAAUUAUAUUAAAACAUUUUUAUUAGUUUCAACUUGAAAGUAUUUUCAUGCAAAAUGUUCCUCAUGUAGGAGCUUUUUACUAAAUAUGUUUAUUUUUCUCUAAUUCCUCGUGCAAGCCAUAUAUUCACAAUCAAAUUAUAAUGUUUCUGUAUAUCUACUCUUGAAUUAUUUAAAAAGUAUGAGAAAAGUACUAAAAUUAAAAUAAUACAUAUUUUCUAUUAAUUCCAAUUGUAAAGUAUUUUCAUGUAAAAUGUUCCUUCCCAUAUGAGUUUUUUACUACGUAACUUAAACAUAAACAAUAUAGACUAUAUAUGUUAGUUUAUUUCAAUUCCUGUGACAAAUUUUUAGUAUCAAAAUUUUAUAUUUUUAUAUAUAUUUACUUUUAAACAUACGAAAAAUACUCUAAAAUUGUGUUAAAAUAUUUUUUAAUUUUAACUUUAAAAUAUUUUAAUGUAAAUGUGUUCUUCCCCAUGAGAACCUUAUUUUCACGAUCAAAUUGUAAUGCUUUGGUAUUCACUUAAAAUUAUUUAAAAUGUAUUGAAAAAGUACUAAAACUCAACACUUUCUUUUAGUUUCCACUUAAAAGUAUUUUCACCAAAAAUAUCCAUCUCGAUAAGGAUUUUCUACAUUCGUAAAAAAAAAUUAUAUUUUUAUAGACAUAUUUAGUAUUUUAAAAAAUUGGUCCAUUCCGAAGUUUAAAAUAAUGAUAAGUUGCAAUUCUAAAGGGUCUUGCCCUUAAUUCAACAUAAGCUUCUUGAUUUAUAAAACUGGAAUUCCAGCAAAAUAUUUUUAAACAGAUCAAAACGAUUGUUAUUAUUUUCCAAUUUCAACUACUUGUGUUAUUAACUGGCACAAUUCUACCCAAAAAAACUUUCUCCAUUAAUAUAACAUCGUGUUAUUUCAAAUAUAUAAACAUAUAACUUUCAAAAAAAAAAUAAAUAUAUAGCACUGUGUUCUGUACAACUUUUAUUGCAUUUUGUUUCAAAAGAUUGGCUUUCCAAAAAAUUAGUAUCUCUAAGAACAUCUCCAAUGCUAGUUCUUAUUUCUUAGUUCUUAGCACUAUUGAUGUGGGCCCGUAUUACCACAUGUGUUUAAACAAUUCUCAAGCAAUUUUGCUCAAACCAUGAGUUCUUAGUUCUUAUUUCCUACCACUAUUCAUUUGGUCUCACCAACCGUAUUAUUUAUAUUUUUUAUUUUCAUAAAGUAAUCAAAAAAACUCAUAAAGUAAUAAAGUAAUUUGUAUGAGAGAGAAAUAAUUAAUAUUUUAAGCUAAGAACUCAAAAAACAAAACUUCUUAUAUAAGAACUGAGUUCUUAUUUUUAAGAACUAAGGAGUCCAUGUCAGCACCUCCAAUGGUAAAGUUCUUAGUUCUUAACUCCAAAAUAAGAACUAAGAACCUUGCAUUGAAGAUGCUCUAAUACUUCAAAGAUUUUAAUUCCAAUCUCUUUUCAAGACCAAGAAGAGUGGAGAAUAAUGAAAAGAACAAUAAUAUAUAUAUUAAAAAAUCAACAUUGGUUAUAUUUUACUCCCUCCGUUCCUAAAUAUAAGACCUAGUUUCAAAAUUUUGAAGUUCCUAAAUAUAAGACCUAGUUACAAUAAUCUAACAAAAGGUUUGUACUCUUCCAUUUUUACCCUCCACAUUAAUUAUAUGUUUUCAAUUCCCAAGUUUUUAUUACCACUUACCAUUAAUUAGUGAGAGAAAAUGACAAAGGGUAAAUAUGGAGGAAUGUAUGCAUUUUUAAAAAACCAAUACACUAAUUGAAUACAUUUAAUGUUUUCUUAAUAAGCGCAAUUUUUUGUAUUAGGUCUUAUAUUUAUGAACGGAGGGAGUAACUGUCUAGACAGUCUAGUCGUACCAACCAAGACACAAUGGUGUAUUUCUUCAAGAGAAAUGACUAAACAUAAGGACAAAAGUAUGUCGAAUUGACAUAAGAGCCAUAUUUUCACUUAUAAGGAUACAUUGGAAAUUUUGUUACUGACUUCAUUUCAACAACGUUGGAAAAUUAUUUUCGGCCAAUGCGCGUCCCUGGAGCUUUUCUAGCAAAACAGAAAUUGAAAGGUUAUGAUACUUUUAAUUAAUUUAUUCAUUUUAAUCUCUAACAUGCAUAUUUUUGUCUUUAGUGUCUUGAAAUCCUCAAGCUUCAAUGUACUUAUCCCAAGACUUCUUUGCACUGUUAUUAUGUAAAAAGAAAGUCAGUUACUCAUAAAUUAGUUCAUAGUCCAUGACUCAAAAUGUAAAAAAUAAAAAAACUACAGGGGUUCAAAUAAGUUCUUUUGGAUGCAAUCAGUUCAGUUCCAUUGAAAUUAAAUCAGCUAGAACAAAUUGGUGGCCAACCAUCAUACUCAAUCCUCAUAUGCUCGAGCAAGCAUUUUAAACUACAACAGGGUGCAAAUACAAAUAUCAGGUUUGGAUUUACUUGGCCGCUCGUUCUUAUCACUGUAGAAUUAAAAUUCCCAAAAGAAUGUAGGUAAUAGUUCCAAACAAUUUGUGAAUAUUUGCAAAGUAGCUUAGACAAAGGCAGUAAAGAAACAAAAAGGGUGCAGAGCUGUAGCAGAAACACCAGCACCAAAGGAAGUCCUAACACACCAGGACCUUUUCACGAACACUGAAGCGCCCAAGCAAGUCACGAACCACAUAGACCUUCGAACAGAAUCAGAAAGAGGUGGAAGCACCGUAGUGAUCUGAAAGUGCAAUUAAAAAAUAUGAGAAGGAUAGAACUUAUGAGAAACAAAGAGUAAAUUUAGAAUUUGAAGAAAAAAAAGAUAAAAGCGGAAAAGAACGCAGAAAAUGAAAAGAGCUUUUCCAGAUUCAUAAAGGAACAGUCUGAUGCAGGGAGAAGCUAAUAAUUCAAAACAACAAAUUCAGAACAUGUAGCACAUGUUCUUGUUGGUAGAUUUAAUGAGCAACUCCGAUCCAGAGUGGCAUUCAUAAAGUAUACUAAUGCAAAAACUUCUCUUUUUCAACUUCACUUCAUGUAGAUCACUGCAUAUCAUUUACUUUAAAAAAAUGGUGAGAAAGAAUACACAAACCUCUUUAGCUCGUAACUGACUUUAACUGCUUAACCAAAAUAAGAAAAAAAAUACAUGAACAGGCAUAAUCAAUCCAAGGAGAUCAACUAUGACAAUAAAAUAGUAAUGGAUACACAAUUGAUAGAUGAUUCCGUGAAUGUCCUAUAAAAUAUAUAAAAGUCUCUAGAAAAUAUACUGAAUUCCAAAAUGAAAGUAAGUUUCUCUCAUCUUUUUUAGCAGAACUGUAGAGCUAUCUUCAAAGUAAGUGUGAAAGUACCAAGAAGCAAUAUAAAGAAUAAAACUUAAUAAGAACCUGGGUGUAACCUUAGGAAUUUGGAAUUGCCAAGAGCCUAAAAUCCUAGCAGCAAACUUUCAUAUCUCUUUCCAUGCAAUGACUUCACUCAUCCUAUCAUACAAAUUCACCAUUAGAUUAGGGUUACUAUGAAUAAGAGAGGGGAAAGGAAAAUUACGCAGUACAGAAGCUGGAUAGUAAUUGACUCGGAUUUAAGUGUGGACCGUGGAUGGAAUAAAGAUUAUUAGAAGCAAUUUAUAGCAAGAGAUAAAAUUGAUUGAGUAAUUGAGCAUUUAACCUGGAACCUUCACUCAGACCAAUCAGAGGAAGAUGAAUUUGAAAUCUUCAAGCACAACAUAGAAAUCGAAGAGACUAUAGCAGCUAUCAAGAAUACUAUCGUAGGAGAUAGGAAAAAUGUUCAUGCAUAUUUGUCUAACCUAGAAGGCAACGUGGGAAAAAACAAAUCAAUCAAAUGAGCUGUCAAAUAUUGAAAAGAGAAUUUGGGCUUUAAAUGAGAUUUUGAAAAGAGUAAUUAACGUUUAAAAAUGAUUGGGUAUCAAAGAGGUGAGAUUUAAAAUUAUAAAAAAGUAAGAUAAGAAUGUUGUAAUCUGUUUUAAAAGAAACAAAAAAAAAAACUGUUUUAAAAGAAAAAAAAAAAGAUGAUUGGCUAUAAAUAUGGUAGUGGUAGACAAAUUGUGUUUAACCAUUAAUAUGGGAUAUAAUGCAAGAUUGAAAAGAUAUCCCAUUAAUUUUUUUGGUAAACAGAUAUCUCAUUAAUAAACGUGCAUGAACUAUUUUAGCUAUCAGAUAUUAAUAAUUAAGAAAGUUUGAAUUAAUAAUUAAGAAUUUUUUUUAAAUGAUUUAAGUUGUUAAACAGUGAUUGGCUUAGAAGUAGGUAGUGGAUAAUUAAUGUGAAGUAAUAAUCAAUGUUAGUCAAAUUUAAGAUUAAAAAUAUUUCGAAAAUAAAAUAAAUUACAGGUGCUAUUACAUGACUACCCUUAGAUAAAAAAACAAUUAGCAAAGAUGCCACUCCCAAGUUUCCAAAAGUGGUAAUAAGAUUUUUUUUUUUUGAUUUUUUUUAAUCAUGGAAAAAUUGCUGAAACCUCCUUCAUUGUUUGCCAAGUGUCAAAACUUGUCAUCUUUUAGGUUCUCUUUUAUAUACUAUUUAGAUUAGAUAAAUAUGUGGUUAUAUACUAAUUGUGACUUAUUGAGUUUGACUUGAAAUUAUGCUGUGAUAUGAUAUCACUAAAGUUUGUUAUCAUUUCUCAUGCUUUCUACUUCUAGUCAACAAAUCUAAGGUCGAACAAUGCUAAAGAAGAUAAUGGAGAAACAUGAGACAUGAUUAUGUCAUUUUAUGUUAAAGAAGAUAAUGGAGAAACAUGACACAUGACAUGAUUAUGAAAUCUAGUGGUGAAUUUCAAGCUCCAUUAAACAUAUUUACAAAUCAAACUCAAGAAGUUACAAAUAUUUACCAGCACACCACCUAUUUUAAUGGUAUAUCUUCUUAACUUUUUCCCCAGGAACUUAGCUAUCUCGGAUUAUAUUGGCUCAACCUGAUUUACACAGCUGAAAGAUUCAAUGCAAAAACUGCUAAAGAAGACAAAUUCAUAUGAUAAUGAAAUUAGAGAAAAUAGCCGCUGCUGCACUAAACUAAAUUACAACUAGACAAUAUUUAUUCACACAUGUGUACUUACAACAAAGCCUCAUGCAUCUGCACUUCAAGAGGCUUAAAAACAUAUAGGACUGCUCAUGUAUGAAGCUAAAAAAAAUUAAAAUUCAAAAAAACAAAUUUCAUGUAUCACUCCAGGUAUCAUCAUCUUCUUCGCCAUCAUCGCUCCCAACAACCUGCAAGUUUUCUCAGAUAAUGGAUGCAGAGUUAGAUGCAAAAUGCAAGCAGUAAUGAAAAAAUAGUAUUAGAUAACAGAAGAGGAGUGAGGAAUACCUGACGAAUUGCAUUUGCUUUCUCCAAAAUUGCUGUAACCUUGACGCUUGCAGUGGGAACCGUGGUAGCAUUUGGCUUCCCUGUUACUGUGGGCCGCAGGUUGAAGGACUGAACCAAUAAAUGACAAGUCAAUGCAAAAGUUAACUUUAAUAAACAUGAUUUCUUAGUUUGCUACAUUAUGUUAUGUACUGAUAUGGUUCAGAUUUAGACUUGGUGUGCGUUUGGAUAGCUAGCUUAAUUAAGUGCUGAUGUCAAUAAACGCUAAUAAUAGGUUAUAGGUAAUAAGCGCUUAUACAUAAAUUAAUCUCAACACCUUAUGAAAAUAGGUACAUAAGUUCUCGCAAAUACUUACAUAAACGCUUAUGCUAUAAGAUAAGCUCAAGUAAACAGAUCUUAAUGGUUGAAAGGUAUAGCCCAGUUCAAGAUAUAUAUACAUUAUAGUCACAAGUAAACUAGAGAUCCUUAGUCCUAAUAGAAUGUGAUUUCUUAUCAAUUACAAUUCUCUAAUGUUGCCCCAUCUUUUUAUGAAUCCGGAUCCUCUCCUGCGGCUGCAGGUGCAACCAAGUAUAAAAAGUGAAUUGUACAGUAAAUCAUUUAAUUUAUCUAUCACUUUCAAUCAAUCUCAGCCCUUAAAAUUGAAGAUCAAUGGCUAAUAUUCUACUAGGAGGGUGAAGGCAAAGUGGCGGGAGAGGAUCCAAACUCAUCUAGAAACGAGGAGAAAUAUUAGAGGAAUAGUUUCACACUCAGCAUAAUUAUCAUCUACUACUAAAUCAUGAAUAAAUGCAAAUUUCGGUCCUCCAAAGUCCAAAGUAAUAAAUAUCAUGAGAUGAAUCUUCCAUUUAUAAAUACAUCAAAAUAACUCUUCAAAGUCAAUCUUUAUCAUCAAUUGAGUCAAACAGAGGACUUAUUUGAUGUCAUGUUAGGGACAAAUUUGAUGCCAAACAUUGAAGUAUUUAACAUUUAAUGACUACUUUGAGUUGUUUAUAAUUGGAUGAAAUCGACAACACUUGAUUCUUUGGAGUGCAAAACUGAAUAUUGACCCUUAAAUCGUUGAAACUAUAAUAUAACUACUUACUUUUGCUCUGAUUUGAUGUAGGAAAUCUUCCCUUUCAUCUGUCUCCUUUCCCAUUCUCAACUGGUUUGCUUCCUUCCAACCAUUCAACUUUGGUUGAUCCAGCUGCAGGAAAGGCAUAACAAGAUGAAUACUUUUUGUUAGAUUCCAUUAUCCACCAUGGUUGCAUAACUAUAAUGUUUUAGUAAAGGAAAUGAGACCAAUGAGUACCUUCUCCUUCAGUUGGUGUAUCAUGUUUUCAUAAGACUCGUGGCCGUCAUGAUUACUUUGUAUUUGCUCAACCUUUGCGAUCCUACGUUGCUGGAAGAUAGUAGAUUCCGAAAGACUUCGGUUGUAAAUAUGUUCAGCAUCUUCAGACAUAUUGUUUUGAGUCUCAUUUGUCACAUCCAACUGUGGUUUUGAGACCCGGCAUUGAGUCGGAGGAAGAGGUGGUGGUCGUGGUGGGGGUGGUGGUGUAGGCUCUGCUUGGCUAUGUAACAUGACAACAUUAUUGCAUUUGGAAUGUUCAUUACUUUCUUUCUCAAAAAAGGGAUUCACAGUAUCAUAACUUGGGAAGUCAAGUGAAGACCCGGAUAAAGAAGGUUCCACACCAUUUGUAUUAUAUGUACCAUGUCCACAUUUUAUGUUGGUAUCAUCAUUGGACACUCCACCAUGUACUUUUGAACUUAACAUAGGUUCACUGUGAGGAGAAUCAAGUACCCCAUGAUCACUGCUUUCAGGAGUUUCAUCAGAUUCCCACUGAUCAGAAUCAUAGUCAGAGCAAGGGGUAUGACAACCAUCUGAAACAUACGGAGAUGAUCUACAGAAAGUAUCAUCAUCAUCAGAGUGAGAAACUGAAUCAUCCAGAGGAAUGGAAGAAGACUCUGGGACCAACUGGAAUGAAGGAAACAUCUCCCUUAUACUUUCAUGGUGAUUACUUCCAUCAGGAAACUUCAGUUUUAAUUUGGAGAUCUCGAGUCCGCUGACAGGACGGAAGGAUAUUUUCAUAUUUUCAAGUGGCGGUGAAGGAGGAAGUGAAUCUAUAGGAUAUCCAGAACCAGCUUUCUCUUUAAAGGUCGUCUCAGGAAGUGGUUGGUCGGCGGUGUCAUUUUGUCCACUCUGCUCCAGUAUAACAGAUCUCAGAGAAUUAUAAGGUCCAGAUUUUUCAUCAAAAGAAACUUUUCGGUUGAAGCUUUUUAAUAACAAUCGAGGACCAAGUCCAAACAUCCGUGAUGAGUUUUCACCGUUUCCCUGGCUGUGUUCAGUACAAUCCCUUGUGGCAGGUCCAGCUGGGAGAACACUUCCAGGUGCCAUAACCCCGGCUUCUGCCAAACUGUUCCUCUCGGUUUGACAAAAUCCAUUACUCAGCUGAGAACUGCCAGAUGUCUUUUCAGAUAUACAAGAUCGACCAUCAUUAUGCCUUGCUGUUGAGAAUCCAAAACUUGAUCCCUUUCGAUUCUGUUCAGUAACCUCGUGCGAUAACUCCUGUUGCUCUUUAUGACCAUUGCUCUUUUGCAUUGAAUCAUGACGUGAAACACCAUCCAUCUCGCUUUUUGAGCUCAAAGGCCCUUGACUUAAAGAACUUGACUUGUCAAAGUCAGGAGGUUUUGAUGGCUCAAGUCCUAAUAAUCCACCAUUAGUCCAGAAUGAAACUGGAUGAUCACCCAAAGAAUCUCUUCGUGUCUCUUCAUAUUUGCAGAUACUGUUGUUGAUUUUACCAGCUUCUUCAUCUGGUGAAUUAGAGCUUCUAGAAUCAGAAAAUGAUAUAUCUGUUUUAAUGGGUGCUGACACUGUAUCAUUAGCGGUAUGAGAACCACUGAAGGUAUGAGUGUAUACUGAGUGAUCUAAAACAUCAUUUUUAUGUGUAUGACGAUCCUGUUCAGAGUUGGGACUCUCAGAUGAAUGAGAAUCAGCUACAUUCUUGGUACUAGAAACAUCAGAUGAACUUACAUAACCCAAAUUAGAUGCAUGUGGCUCUGGUGUGAGAGGAGGAAUUCCCUGCUGUGAGUCAGGCAAAUUCCCAAACAUUUCUUUGUUUAAGGAAACAGCCUCUCUGGUAAUUUCUUGGCUAUGAAGAAUAUCUGACAGAUUCUCAGGUUCUGCAUGUGGCUCUGGUAUGAGAGGUGGAAUUUCUUGCAGUGAGUCAGGAGAAUUCCCAAGCAUUUCUUUGUUUACGGAAACGGUCUCUCUGGUAAUUUCUUCGCUGUAAGCAACGUCUGAUGGAUUCACAGGUUCUGAAUUAGACACAUGUGGUUCUGAAGGGACAGGAGGAAUUUCUUGUGGCAAAUCAAGCUCCCUGAACGCUUCUUUGUUUAAGGAAUCAGGGUCCCUGGUAAUUUUUUCGCUAUCAAGAACAUCUGAUGGACUUACCGAUCCCAAAUUUGAUGCAUGUGGUUCUGAUGGGAGAGAAGGAAUUUCUUGCAGAAAGUCAGGCUCCCUGAAUGCUUCUUUUCUUACGGAAAAAGUGUCUCCGGUAAUUCUCAUGCUAUCAAGAACAUUGGAUGGACUUACCAAUCCCAAAUUUGAUGCAUGUGGCUCAGAUAUGGGAUCACUUUCUUCCUCACCUGUGUCUUUAUUUAAGGGGACAGUUUGCAGAACAUCGGAUACAUUAUUGUCUAAUAAUUUAGAAGGAGAUCUAGUAACUUCAUUUUCAACCAUUCCAUCAGUGACAAGUGAAGUGAACCGCUGCAACUCUCGUUUUGUUUCAUAAUCAAGAUCAAUUUCAGAUUCUGAUUCAAUGGUGUUAAGAGCAUCCAUGUAAUCAUCAGGUUCACUGUCAAUGUCGUCUAUUUGAACCCUGCUGGAGACCUGUUUCAGGUUUCUUUCUUCAUUGUAUAGGAUAUCAUUAUAAUCAAUAUUUGUUGUGGCAACAGCCUCUUCCACACGCAUAUCUGAGUCAUGCUUUUCCACAAGCCUCUCUGUAAUUUUAUCUGUAUCACAGGCUUGACUAUUAGAUUCCACUAUCUCCUCUUUUUCAUCCCAAGUAACACCUGAUGAACUAGAGGCAAUUUUCUUUUCCAAUGAAUCAUGUGAAAUACUAUCAUCUAUAGCAGGAGAUACAGACUGACGAUUAUUGAUUUUCUGUGUCGACCUGGAAGAGGAUGGUUCCUUACAAUCCUGCUCAUCAGGUUGCAGAUAAUUACUUGGAUGGAAAACACAUUCUAUGUAUCCAGCACCAGACUUUGAAUCGAAAGAAUUUGAAUAAUCCUCCAUAUCUGAUUUCAUUGCCAUGUCUAUUGUGGAGGCUGCUUGUGAGGAAGAAGUUCGGCCAUUGAUAGUGGAAGAACUAAAUUGCAUUCUGGGGGAGAGAAUAUACUAUGUAAGUGUUGAUUUUGAAUAUACAAUAUGUAUGCCAUAAGUAAGUAUGCAAUAGACAUAUAAGUUAUACCUGCCACUACUGCUAUGCAUCUGUUCACCCCUUAAAAGUUCCCUAGUCCUUCGUGAUGAUCUUCUCUUCUGUCAAACAUUUUUUAUAUAAGCACCAAUAAAUUGUUUGCAAAGAAAUUAAAUGCAAGCAUAUGACAGGAAUGAAACUCAGUUAAAAAUAAUCUUCCAUUGAAAGGCUUGGAUCAUCAUAGUACCUUGCUUUUACGGGAUUUCCUAGCCUUUUCAGUCUUCUCAGAGUACGGUUCGUCUAAAUCUGUAGAUACUCUCCUGAAGAAGGUUGGAUCAGAAUAUCUACGGAAACAAGAUCCAGGACCACUAGUAUCGAAUCUGAUUGACACAUGAAAUUUUUCAUUAACGAUUACCGCGAGAUUAGCUGACAUAGUACUUGAUACUUUCAGAGCUCGAAAGAAAACAGAGAGAUGGGCAAAAUGGACAGGGACAUGAUCCAGGCACACCAUUACGAAUUUGAAACGACAUGAAAUAUUUCAUCAUCUAAUAGUUGGAAAUUAGUUUAAGCUGUAGUACUGAACUAAAUUUGCUAUUUUCAAACAGAAAGACAAACAGGGAAAGGAAGGGAAUCGAAAGAAAUUUCAACAUACUUAUCAAGCAAGUGCACACGCGGAGGUUCACGGCAUUCUUCAUAUGAGUCCAUCAUAAAGUGAGGCAAGUCAUUGUAUAUGAAAUGAUUUCGUGCAGUUUUUAUUCGUGGAUGCCAUUCACAACCUGAAAAUAAACUGCUUUUCAUCAAGAACUCCUAUAUUGACUGAAAAUCAACAUCAUGAGCAUUAAAUAAUGUAGUAUUCCAUAUUCAAUACAAAAAUAUAAAUGUAUGGUAUCUAUGCAAAGCUAAUUUACUGCCACUUGAGUGCUUGAGUAAUUGCUGAUUCAGAUUAAAGUUAAUUUGAGAUAAACAUACUGCCUGAAUGAUACAAGUGAAACUUGAAUUCAAGUUUUGCGCAUCUUUUGCAGGUCCUAGACUACUUAUGCAUUCCAUGCUAAACAGAACAUAAUUCACAAAAAUAAUGUGUUCAUUUCCAGCAAAUCCUCAUACAAGAUGAGAUCAAUGCUUAAAAGGACCAUACCGGCUGUGUAAGCAAAAUGUAUGUGACUUGUUUGUGCUAAUACAGCCCUCUCCAAGGAAGGCAGGGACGCUUCAAUGUUCCGUACACGAACAUUCAAUCUAUGACUCCUAGAAGCUGUUGUCAUCACUUGCUCCUGCAGACCAUGAAAAACCUCUGCUGCAAAACUACAUUUUCAAAAAAAGCUACAUCAGUAAAACUCAACAUCAAUACAAACAAACACCAGAAGGAAAACUAACUACUUAGAUAAAAGUGCAUUCAUAACAUGAUAUUAAACAAGGUUUCAAGAAGCAUAGAGAAAAUGCCACAAUUAUCAAGAACUGCUCAAUCGUCCGACACCAGAGACUGGGGCACACAUACUAAACAUGUAAACAGAAAGUGGAAUUCAAAUCCACACAAGACAUACCAUUAUUUCUUUUAACAUUAUAUCUUUUUGUGAUUUAUUUUAACACAAACAUAACACGAGAUCUUUGCAAAAUUUAGUAACAAAAAACACAGACCAUAAGCAAGGAUUUAUAGCAAGCAAAACUAACAGUAAUCACUAGCUAUCUGCAGGAAGUUGCUUUGGUAAAGAUACAUCUUCUCUUUGUACACAGAAAACCAGUUAUAUCCAUAAUGGAUCAGAUUAGUAAUAGUACUUCUACUAUGAACUAUAUCUACAGUUGUUUUGCUGGAGUAUGAGAUGGAAUUAGUUUAGUGUCAAGAAGAAAUGGAAGAAAGAAUCAAGAUUUAGUAAUGAUAUUAGAGCAAGGAAGCAUUUUUAGGUGAGUUCCAUUCCUUCCAAACAUUUCACCUUGUGAACCAACCACUCAAAGUUCUAAGAGGCUAAAAGCAUAACAGUGAUGAUUAUCCAAAGAGCAACCAAGUUAUAGCUGUACUGUACACAACCAAUAACUGCCUACAAAGCUGAAAUCCAUCCAAUGGGAAAGCUCAGAAAAGAAAAAAAGUCAAAGAGCAUUAUGUCACUACCAAUUGAAAAUCCCCAAAAAAAUUAAAAAAACAAAAAGAAGCUCAAUUCUAUAACAGCUAAGCUUCUUACUUCCUGUACAAAAACUCAGUGAGAUAGCAACAACAUUCAGUUACUACCAAAACCAGCAUUCUGAGCACCCCACAACCUCUAAGCCUCGAAAUUACCAAAACAAACCAACCCCACUUCCCAAAUAAUGCCCAAAUGGGUAAAAAUUGCAACUUUUGGGAGUAAACAAAAGUUCAAAAUUGAAAGAAGACAUACUCAGCAAGAUCACCAAGCUGCCUCAAGAUCCCAACAAGUCCAGCCACAGCAACACCAUCAAGCACAGCUUUAGGGUCUUCUCUGUUAGCCUCUCUGUAUAGCUCAGGUUGCCCCAAAUUAAACUCAUUCCUCACCUGCAACCUCACCAGAGGCAUCUCUGAUCUUCCCUUCACUGAAAGAGUGAAAACCCAGCAAAAAAAUAUGAUCUUUUUUUGGCCCUUGUAGGUGAAAGGUUGUUCUGAAAUGAAUGAAUGAAUGUGCAAGUGUGAUUGGAAGCAAUAAAUGAAGGGAAUGAAGAGAGAGAAAAAUGAGAUUUUUAAUGGAGAGGAGAGAGAAAGUGGGUGGGUGUGGAGAUUGAAGCAGCGUAACUGCCAAAGAGAAGAGACGAAGAAGAGUGAAGGAGGGAGCAGGUUAAGGAGUGUACGGAUCGAUGAAGGGGAGUGAAUGAGGGAGAAGAAGGACAUUGCCAACUCUGCAAGCCAUUCUUCAAAGGAAAUCCUUGUCUCAGAGAACAGGGUGGAUUGUUGAAAGUACUAGGAUGCCCUUGUUGUUUGGGGACAAUGCCUUGUGUGUCCGGAAAGUGUUGAAGGGGGUAACUAUGAAGAGUGAAAUUACUGAUUUGGGACUUGGGAGCCACAAACUUUUUGCCUUUUGAGGGUUGGGUCAAAAUGGUAAAGGGGAUGUAAUGUCUAGAACUAGAUUGGUUAGAAGAGACAUGCAACUAUUUUACGAACGAGUAACAUCAUUAGUUAAAGACACAUAAUGGAAGUAGUGUCGAAGGCAUAAAUUAGUAUUUUUUAUUCAUAAAACCUUAAUUUGAUAAUUGACGAUUUUCACACUCAUCAAUUUAGAUCUUAAUAGAGAUCUAAUGGAGCGUCGAAAAAAUCAGACCGGUUGAUCGUCUAAACGAACCGCCUCAACACGUAAUUGGAUUUAUGAUCGAUCUAGUUGGCUCAUCAUUCAGUUGUAUACUUGACUCAACUAAAACUCGGCGGGUCAGUUCAAUUGGCUUAUUAGAAUUGUUAACUUAAUGAUCAACUCAACAUGACUUGAAAUUAUUCCCUGAAUACCAGUAGAGAACUCGCGCAAUCGAUACAAAAAUGAGGGGUUGGCUAAGGUUUGAAUGCACAUACUAAAAAGAUAUAAAUUUUGAACCAUGUUAGAAUUUGGAGAUAUUUGAGCAUAUUUAUAUAUUUGAGCAAAACUUAAACAUCAAACAUUGAACCAGUUAGAAUUUGGAGAUAUUUGAGCAUAUUUAUAUAUUUAUAUCAUGAUUAAAAAUAUAUAAAUUUUGUUAAUAUAAAGUACAAUAUCUUCCUCUUUGUAACAAAAAAAUAUAAAAUACAAUUAAGUUAAAUUAUAUAUACGAUAUAAAAUACAGUUAAGUUAAAUUAUAUGAUAUAAAAUAAUUUAUGAAUAUUAUAUUUAUAAAAUUUGUCCAACCAAUGACACACAAGUUGGACCAUUAACCCAUCAAUCCAAUAUCUCCAUCGACGACUGAUCCAAAACACUGAUCUAAUAAAUGAUAUGUUAAGGGUGUAAUCGGAGUGUGACAUUCUCCUUCCAACACCAUUUCUACAUUUCCAUUUCAAAACCUUUUUUUUAUUUGUUACUAUAAAAUCCAUAUAUAACUCACUAAAUUGGGGAGUGUGACUUUUAUAAAUUAGUGGAUUUUACAUGAGUUUCAAAUAAUGAAAGAGAAAGUGUUAGAAAUAAAAUGUCAAAUUGAGUAUCGGUGAUAGUUCUCAAAUAGAUCCUUGCUAGACUCAAAGGUGACUAAAAUUGAUUUUGCCAUUCUUAGCAAAAUAAUUAAUGCCAUAUACACGCAAUCACUAAUGGUAUAUUUAAAGGGACUAAUUAUAUACCAAUUUUACUGAGUUUUAUUGGUGAAAAUAAAAAUACAAUGUGGAUGUGGUUCAAUUGUGUUUAUGAAAUAUUUUUACGGACAAGUUGUUUAUAAUUUUCAAAGGAAAACCUUUUUUCAAGAAACUUAAAUAAAAGGAAUAUUUCUAUGCAUGUAUGACAGAUAAUGCGGGACAGUGAUGUGUAUGAACACAAAAAUGAGAAAUGCUUAUCUGGUGAUAAUUACAGACGGAGUGGUUUUCUGAUAUUUCAGUUUCAAGGAUUAAAUGCUAUGAUCUACAAAUUUGUUUUUGUGUGGUGAUGAAAUACCUAGAGCAUUAAUUAAUAACUAUGGAAAAUCAUGUAUAAAGUUGGUUACAUUAAUUAGGGAAUGAAUGGAGAUUUAAAAAAAAAUAUAAAUAUAUAUAUAUAUAUUUAUAGACAAAUGUUUUUUUUGAACUUUUUAAUAGGCAAAUGUUAGUUGUUAGUAAUGUUAGUUUUUUUUAUAGUCAAUGUUAGAUGUUUGUAAUGUUAGUAAAUUAGUCUUCCUCAUGAUUCGAACUCUUUACCAUUCACAAACUCUUAUGUCUCCAUACUCUUACAACAUUUGAGAAUAUUUAUAUGUCAUUCUUUCUAUUUUGAUAAUUAUUUAUAUGUCAUUCUUAGUUGAAUCAUAAGAAAGCAUUUGAAUUGAAUUAAUGUAGGAUGUAUCUAGUAAAUAGAUUAAUUAUAUUAAAUGUUUAUUGCAAUAACGGUUUAUGGCAUAAGCUAAAAAUAUUAAAAUAAGUUAAUCUCAGAAAUUUAUUAAAAUAAACUAAAAAUAAAUUAUAUGUAAGCCUAAUUUUUCAUUCAUGUUCCCGUGAGAUAGCUCGAGUGGUAGGAGCGGAGGACAUAUGAGUUGGGUAGGGGGAGAUCCAUAGAUCGAUUCUUAGCAGGUGCAAUUUAUCUUUCCGAUGUAAAAGAAAAAUUUAUUCAUAAGCUAAUAUGAAUAACUUAUGAAAUAAAUUUAAGAAUUAUGUAUAUAUAUAGGUCAUAGUUAUUCACAAAACUUGUAUAAAGCUUAAGUAGGCUUCCAAAUGAGGUAUUAGCUCCUAAGUUAAAUGGCAAUUGCGUGUUACACUCUGCAAUCAUUAUUUCUUGCCUGCUAUAAUUAACUGGGUAUAUAUAGUAUUGGCAUGGACCCUCUACUUAAAACGUAGGUAUAAGAUUGGUAUUUUCUCAGGAAAAACAAUUAGUAGGAAAAUAAAAAAGUUAAAGAGAAGGAAAAACGAAAGUGAUUGAAAGAGAUUUGCCUUUAAUAACAACAGUACGGGGCAAAGAAUUCAUACCAUUUUGCUUUGUCAUAUAUCAUAAAUGUUGAUGAUAAGGUAGGUUUCCUUGUUUAGUUUUGAGUAGGUAUGCAAAUUGAUUAGGUUCAAGUGAAAUAUUACAUUUUAAUGAAUCUACUACAUUAUUCUUUUUUUUGGUUGCAUACAUUAUUCAAAUAAACACGUGAGUGCACUUUAAUUAAUAAAAUGCACAUAAUUAUGUAAGUGUAUGACAUAAUAUACCAAAUUCUUAAUGUUAUACAUGGUCUAUCUAAGAGGGAAAAUGUUAACGGAAAAAAUAAUAAUGGCAGCUUAUUUUUUUAUUAUUGUGUUAAUUAAUGUAUCUCCACAAUUGAUAAUUACAAAACUAAUUUAAUCGAGACUAUGAAAUCUCAUUAUAUAGGUAAAUUUUUCAUAAUAAAAUUUGGAUCAAAUGCACCGCUCAAAAACCAAAUUCUAGACUAAAUGCUAAAGAAACUCAGAUAUAUAUCUAAACCAGCCUAUAAAAAAAAUAUCUAUACCAAUUUUGGUGAACCUUCGUUGUUAUGAUAGCUUAUUCUUCGUGGGGCGUAGUGGCUUACAAUUUGACAUCGAAGUCAUCAUAUAUGGCAAUCUGAACAUUAAUUGAUUCGUGAAACAAUUAACAGUACUAUUAAAAUUAAUAAAUUAAGGCAAUUCUCAUCAAAUUCUUCGCAAAUAAAAUAUGAUGAACCAUCUUUUUCGCUGAGUGCGUAAGAGUUGACGAACAAAUCCAAAGGUUAAAGUUUGGUGAAAGGUUUGACUUGGAACAGAUAUCUAGAAUCUAUAGUUAAGUUGGCUUUUACUUCACCCACGAAAUUAAGAAACACCAUUUGAUCCAUGAGGUUCUAAUUAAUUAUUACCAAAAUGAUCAUCAUACUAGUAUUAUUUCCUUGUCAUUGCAGGAAAUAUCUCCCACAGUUGUUUCUCUUUGAAAUCAUCUGGAAAAUUAGAAAAAAAAAUAAUGAGUAAUGUCUACUCAUGUGAUGUUGGUUGUUAAUUAUCUAGUAGCACAACUCUUCAACCAAAGUGCCACAACGGCACUCUGCUGCUGCCAAAUCCAAUGCUGCCACUAGCAGCGUAGUGGAAAGUUCACGUUGCUGCAUCACAGUAAUCAAUAUAGACAGGCAGUGCAGUGCUAAUUAAUUCUUCAAUUUAAUUUGUUGGGGGUUCUGUUUCACAAUAUUCAAAAUGAAAAAUAUCUUUUCAAUUUGCUAAUCUAUACUAUAGUCAUAGAUCAGGUUUGAAGUUAAUAAGAUAUUUAAAAGUAUGUGUAAGUGAAUAUAAUAAUGCACGGCAGACCAGAUAUACAAAUCCUAGGUGUUUCCAUGUCUUUAGGCAUCUUUGCCCAUCAUUAAAGGGUUCAUGACCGCUCAAUGGAAUACUAUAAUUAUAUUGUUAAUUAAUGUAUUCUCACAGCUAAUAGCCGUGAGAUUAAAUUAAUGACUUUUUUUUUGUUCGCAUGAGUUGAUAAUCAAAUUCUCAACCAUUUCUUAAAGAAUGGAGUGUUAAACCUCUACGUCAACUCACUCAGUGGCGGAUCCAGGACCCAAGGUCAGGGGUUCAAAAUUUUCAAACGAACACAUCAAUAAAAAUAUAAUUAAAAACAACUUUAAUAUGUUUAUACUAAUAAAUUAUACAAGUCAUAAUUGUCCUUUACGUGAUUUCAUAUUCUGAAAUCGUUGAAUAAUAAGCUCGAAGUCAAUGGUAUUGAAUACAUAACUCUCAAUGUAAGUAACUAAACAAUCGUUCAUCCAUGUAUCUCUCAUUCGGUUACGCAGCUUAUUCUUCACAAUAUUCAUAGCAACAAGCAAAAUCAGCGCAAAUUUCAAAAGAAGAUAAACUUGUGGAUAAACAACAUGUUUUCCUUUUUCAACCAACUUCUCCGAAAGCUGUUGGAGUCCUUUCAAAGAGGUAAAUUCAUCAUUCCUACGCAUACCGAUAAUGUAGGAAUCUAGUGCAUCACCAGACACCAAGCACCACUAAAUUAAAUGGAGUGAAUUCAUUUUGAUAAAAACUUGCAAAUUCCAACACAUUUGCCUUAUUAAAAGCAGAGAAUAAUGAUGCUUUGUUGUAAUGCUAUGGGUUUGACGUUGUGACUACCCAGUACUUAUAAACACACUUCCUGCAAUAAAGACACUGAGACACACAUGUGUGUGAGAAAGUGGGAUAAGUGAGUUUGAGUUUGGUUCAAAUAUGUGCAAAAUUUAAACUAUUAGUACAAUUUAAAAUUUUCAGGGGGUUCAAAAAAGAAUUUAUAUAAAGGGGUAAAAUUUAUAUAGUGGGGUAAGUGUGCUCUAUUUUUUUUCAAGGGGGUUCAAGUGAACCCCCUCAUCACCAUGUAGGUCCGCCUCUGAACUCACUUGCUUCAUUCAAAUAAAAUGAACAGCUACUUUCUCUCUGGGUAAGAUUUAAUUAGUUAGAGCUAUGACUUCAAUUUAUCACUUUUUUCUCUAUAGCCAUUUUGUUCACCACAAGAAAGGGUUAAAUGCAUCAGCCCCUACACGACGCUAAAAUUAGCUUAUUAAUGUUAGUCAAAUUGAUACAGAACAUUGACUUUUAAAUUAUGUUCCACUUAAAGAUAGACAAAAGUUAAUUAACAUUGACUUAUUAGCAUUUAGCGAUGAUUCUAGUCGAAGUUUGGUUUUGUCCAACGCUAAAAUCAUUGUCAAAAAAUUUGUCAGCCCUAUUAGCGUUGACUUUGACCAACGCUAGCUAGCUUGAAGUCAACCCAACCCUUCUACUCAGCCUGCUAGUAGUAUUGGUCAAGUCUGCUGACGCUAACCUUCGAUGAUUUGUUCACUUGAUCAUCCUUAUAAGCUCGCUGAAACCCUCACACCCUAUCACACUCUCCAAACUGCCUUCGGCAUUCCACCUCUUCCUAUGUCGCCCCGUCAAGCAUCCACUGCCUAAUCAUCCACCACUUGUCACCCCCUAUUCUCGUCGUUGCACCACCCUUCCCCACAUCCUUGUUGCCGCACCACCGCUUCUAGCUCUGCCGCGCGCUGCCAACCUUAAACUAUUGGACUUUACAUUGGUUCGUGCAUGUUCAUCCAUGUAGAAUAGCAAGCUGGUGAUGAAUCAUUAUCUCUAGCUAAACCUAUGUCUAAUUGUAUAAACUUAGUUUGUUGUAUUAACAAUGAAGGCAAGCAAUCAAAUCUAUUAUACUUAUCCCUUAGCACCUACUUUUAGGCUGUAUUAAGAUUUCAUAAACUUACAAAAUAAGUUGCAUUUUCCUUGCUAUUCAUCAAAGUUCUAUGGUUUGGACUGCAUAUAUUUAUUCUUCAAUUUUGUUGAUGUUGGUUUUGUGGUAAGUAAGUUAAACAUUUUAAGUAAAAAUUUGAAAAAAUCAUUUAUAGGAGAAACAACUAUAAUUUCUUAUGAUCACUUGGAUCUCAAAAGAUUAUCACUUAAUGACGGCGACCGCUAGCUAGUAAGGAAUUGCCACUUAAAUCAGUGUCUUUUUUUUUAUAGGCAUUACAUAUUGAAAGUAUAUCACUGAUAUAGUGUGUUAUCUCCAUUGGUACCUUCAAGGCUUAAAGAAUUCACGUGAUAAUUCAAUAGUGAAAUAAGGUGAAACAUAUAAUUAAUUUCUUGAAUCUUGUUUGGAAGUUGGUGUCGUCAAGUAGGAUUUAUUUGAAGUCGAGUGUCUUAGAAGCUCGAUGUUUCUUCUUAAUAAAUUAAUAAAUCCAAGACUUAUUAAAAGGAAAAACAGAGAUAACAGUUUCACAUGACAUUCACAUGUGCUACUCACACAUCCUCUGAAUAAAUAAAGACAUGGAAACUGGAAAUUAAGGGCAAACAGGUGAUGGGGGUUAGGGUGGCCUUGAACUUCUUUCUCAAUAAAAUAUUGAUGCUAUAGAUCAUGCCAGUGAAAAAAAUAUGUGAAGUUUUGAAGGAGAGAAGGCUUUUAAUAAAAAAAUCACUUUUUCUUCUGUAUCAAUUUUCCAAGUUUGUUUUAAAUUUUUUAUCAUUCCUAAUUCCGAUACUUUGUAAGGUCAAUUUCUACUACACCGGUUCAACCAACUUAUUUAGCUAGCGCUCACACAUUUGGGUCCAAGUAGUAGCCUUGUAGGUUGAAGCAUUUCCACUUCACUAUGAACUAUGAAGUACGAACUUUUUCUCAUCUCACUUCAUAGGAAAAUGUUUCUUGAACAUACAUAGUCUCAUUAAUGAUCACCUAAUGACACAUGCAGUUUGUGGUGGCUUUUGACAGCCACAAUCGAUAAAGUAUUAAAAAUUUUAAAAAGAAUAUUUUUUCACGAUUCAUUAGAAAAGACAUCACAAAAUUGUGUAUUUAUUUUACGGGGAUUUUAAAACCCGCGCGAAACACUUAUUUUUUCAUAACAUUUUUUCAAAGUAUGUCACAAGCUCCCAAAAAUUGUGAUUUGCUUGUUCGGCCUCUUAGGGACUAUAAAUCAUUGGCCUGUUACCCUAUUUAUAGUUUAUGGGCUUAAUUAUAGCUAGAACGAAGACUAUUUCAUGGACUCUUAGCAUUGGAUUUUGUAGGCUUGUCCAAUUAUGGGUUCUAUAGUUAAACUAUAUGUGAGUUGACCACAAAAAAAAGGUAAACCAUAUGUGUGCCACGAAUUCAUGUUACUAGAGGUUAUUUGACGACCCGACCCAAAAUAAUUAAAUAAAUAAAUAAGGAGCAAGAGGAGGAUUUGUAAAUAAAAGAUUCCGCAAAAGUCUAUAUUAACUAUUAAGUUACUGACAGUUUACUCAUGAUUCCGAUGGUGGUUGAAGGCAAGACUUAAGCAUUUUUGUAUAUCUUUCAUUAAUUGAGAAUCAAAUCCAUAUGUUACUUUUAGUUUGAAGAUGGUGUAUGGGAUGAAGAUGAAGUUAUCUCAGUUAUAGCAAGAUGGUGACACUAGAUUUUACAGCUUGAAGUAUAGUCUAUUAUUUGUCACUUUUGUUUGUUUGUAUUGUUUCUGUUAGAUGUUGUCGCUUGUUUAUUGGUCAUGAUUUAUCUUGUAUCUUUAUUUGGGUGCAUCUUGUACUCAAUUUUUCUAAUAUAGAAAGGGUUUGUUACGUUAAAAAAAAGAAAGACAUUUUGUUGGUUUUUAGAAGAGAAAAAAUCUAAAGGGUGAUCUAAAUGAUUCAUGAAAAAGUUUGGGUUAAAUAAUCCAUCAUCUAAUCACAUUGGAGAUAAGUAAGUUGGAAAAAAAUGAAUAAAUAAAAUAUAAAAAUUCCAACUCACUUAUCUUCAAUGUGAUUGGAUGAUGAGUUAUUUAACCCAAAACUUUUCUUGUGUCAUUUAGACAACCCAAAAUCUAAAUAUAAAUUAUUUCAAUUUCUUAUAUUUAAUUCACAGUUAAUUUUGACAAAAGUUUUUUUUAUAAGCAAAUAGUUGUAUUAAGGAGGCACUGCCUCAAUCCGUAGUACAAAGAUAGUUGAUUUCCACAUUAUACAUUUUAAGAUAGUUGAAUGUACUCUUACACCCCCGGCUAAUUCAUAUAUUUUGUUUCAGACAAGUGAAUAUACUUUUUGAUCAAUUUAAAUGUACACACAAACACAUUUUUUUUUUUUAUAGGCAAAUGUUAGUUGUUAGAAAUGUUAGUAAAUUAGUCCCUCCUCCGGGUUCGAACCCGGGACCCUUCACCCUCACCCCACCCAACCCUUAUGUCCCUAGCUCUUACCACUUGAGCUAUCAUUCGGAGACAAACACAUUUAAUUAUUAUCUCUAUUUUGUAACGGUCUUUCUUUUCAGUGACUUGUUUCCUUUAAUUCUUUGAUUUGAUGAUAAACAUGAAGACGGUCUUUCUUUUCCCCGUCCUCAAUCUUAAAAUGUUUCCCUUUUAAUGUAAAUUAAAACUUAUAUUUGAUUUCAUUUGAAGGGCUUUGUCCCCUUAAUUAGACUAUUCAAUAAAUAAUAAAUAUUUAUUUUUUAAAAUUUAUUAUAAUAUCUUAAAACUAUAUACUUAUUGAACUAUUUAUGUUUAAAUACGUGAGAUUAUAUUAUUUAACUAUAUAAACCUCUUUAGAAAAUGAUUAUUGACUUGGACCAUAUAAUCAUAUUAUUGUAUUUUAACUCAUUACUUUAUAACUUUGUUAACAUAUUUAUAAGUAAACUUUUCGGUCUACUUGAAUGUAUUACAAUGAAGUAGACUUUUAAAUAUUAUCAGGCCAAACCAAGCUUUCAAAUAGAUAGGCUUGGGCCUAAAAAAACCUUUCACAGGCUACAGGCCAUACUGAGGCCUUAAAUAUUGUAAGUAGGCUAAUCCUAUUUAAGCACAAAGCCUAGUGAAGCCCAGCCUACUUCCAACCCUAGUUUCCGGUUAAUGAAUUUUAAUUACUCCCUCCGUUCCUUAAUAUAAGUACAAAGCCACAACUUCACACCCCUUUAGAAAUUGAGUUAAUUUAGGUAAAUACAUUAAAUUUGUUCUCAAUUUAUAUCAAUUUUCCAAAGUUACCCUCCACUCAUUAUUCAAUCUCUAUGCAUCAUUACUACUAUGGAAAGUGGAAAGAGAGAAAAUUCAAUUAAUAAGGGCAUUCUUGUCCAAAAUUAAUUAAUGCACCACAAACUCCAAGUUGGUUCUUAUAAAAAGGAUCAUGGUGCACCUCACAUUUGAUUCUUAUAAAAAGGAUCAUGAGGUGAUCAUGGUGCACCUCACAUUUAAUUUCAUUCUUAUAAAAAGGAACGAAGAGAGUAAUGAAUUUCAAUCAGUUAAAUAAAAAACUAGAGAUGGGUAAAUAAUUACUAUUCUCACCUCGAAUUAUGCGUGUGAUUCAAUCUUUAAUUAUUGUUAGCCACUUUACAAUUCUUCAAUAGGUUUUGAAUUUUGUGAUGUGUUAAGCUAACAUGCACUCCUAUAAUUACUAAUUAAUUAAUGCAUAUAUUUGCCACAAUCAAAUAUAAUACUAAUUACUUUAUUUAUUAAUAUAUAAAUUUUAUAAUAUGCAUAGAAAAUAAAAAUGUAAAAGGGAAAAGGAAACUCAUCAAUUAGCUAGAAGAAUUGGAAAACAAUACUAACAUUUAACUUUUAUUAAAGCUUGUAUGUUGCGGGUCAUGCUUGAUAAUAACCAUUUGUCAAUUAAUGUACCCUCGAGUCUGACAUUUUUAGUGCUGAAAAUUCGUAAACAGGUUUCAAAGGUAUCUCUGCUGCUUCAUACAUUUUAUGCUUAUUCAAGUAAACUUUCGAAUCAGCCUUAAAGACGUGAACCAUCAUUUAACAAUGAACUUUUCUAAGAUUAUGUGAAUAUUCCCAUAUCUCCACAACAAUAAUUAUUACAAGCAUAUCGGAAAAAACAAUCCAUUCCAAAAAAAAUACAAUACCUCACUUAAAUACCUAUAUGCACAUUAUAUUGGACAGGGCGACCAAGUUGAUUUUUUAGAAGAUGCAUGUAAUAGUUCCUCUCUAUUGUUGUAUCUCGUACCCAUCAAGCUAUCAUGAAGUCCAACCUUGAACACCCUAACAUCAAUAUCUUCAAAAUUCAACUUUAUAAAAGGCCGGUUUGGCGUUACGCAAGGUACACAACUCCUCAUCACUCACUAUUCUUCCCUGAUAUUUUAACUUAGACGUCAGAGUGUCAGUAUAAAGUCUUCAUUGACACUGUGACUUGAUUUUUUUGUUUUGAAAAUUUUGCGUUGUAGGUUAUGUAAUGUAUCCUUUCAAAUAGAGAAUUACAUUUUACAAGAUAGGUUCUCUUUCUAGCAUAUUCUACAUAUUCCAACAUCAAACCCAUGGGUUUCCUAAGCCAUCAACACAUGUUGUCUGAGAAGAUUGGCAGAGGGACGAUUGAGUGGCUUUCAAUUGGAAUAAAUAUAACAGCUUGUGCUCAUCCAAAAUCAGUUCUGGUUGCAUAUGACAUGUUUCUGAAAACCUCAAACUAUAUGUAAAAUUUCUACUCAAGGGUAACUUGAAAGAUGACUCCUUCAUGGUUCCCAAUAAUACACCGAGUUCCAGGCAAUUCUUUCAUCUGCAUCCUAAGCUUAGAAGCUUCAGAAAUAAUCAUUGACACUGUGACUUGAUAACAUAUGAGCUCUUAUCUAACUCAGAGAAGCACCCUAACUAUUAGCAAGAAGAACCACCAUUCCCACUCUCAAUUCAACACUCUUCCUCUCCCGCCCGAUUUAGUCCUUAAUUAUUUAUAUUUAUUUAUUUGAAAUUCCUUUCUUUUGGUCGAAAUAUAGAAAAAUCCUAAUUAAAUGAAGCAUCACUUGGACUAUAAGCACCAAGUCACCGAAUAAUGAGUAAACUAGUUCUGAUUGGCUCCCACAGAAUUAGACAAAAUCAAGGAAAAAGGGUCCCCUAUAUAUGCAAACCACUAUCGAGUGGCCAUAAUGCCUAUUGUGAAGAACGAUAAUUGGUGUGAUUGUACUAUUGAUGCCUUAUAAAAUAUUGUAAUAGUGUACGAUAGUGCAAAUAAGUAAAAAGUAGAAACACAUACGAUUUUAAUAUAUUCGCAAUCACAUUUUUUUAUCUUAUUUUUACCCACAUUUCUUUUCUCUUUGAUCCCUUUGAUUUUUUUAUCACAUUAUACAUUAUAUUUUUCAUUUUUCUCAUUUUUAAUUAAUUUUAUCUUAUUUUAAGAUGUAGGAGAAAUUGAGUGUGAAAAUAUUAUUUUCCCAUAGAAAAUUAUAUAAGAUAUAGAGAUCUCGAUGAGGAGAAAGAGGAAGAAAAGCACCAUUGUAGGCCCCAUGUUAUGUCCUCUUAAAAGACCACAAGACAUGACUUUCAUCUUUCUCCCAACACUCCCAUAUUCUUUCACCUCAUUAACCUCUCAGCACUCACCCUGUUAAUUUUCCACCACCGUAGUCAUUCUUCCCCCUUAGAACAAGAUACCAAACAUGUCUAGCCAGCUUCAAAAUGGUUCACCUCAUGGAUCCUCAUCAUCAUCACAACCACCAUCCAAUCAACAACAACAUCAUCAUCAUCGACAAGUCCAAUCGCAACCGCAACAGCAGCCGCUAAGCCGAUAUGAGUCACAAAAACGACGAGAUUGGAACACCUUUGGGCAAUACUUGAAGAAUAGGACUCCCCAAGUUCCACUCUCUCAGUGCAACUUCAACCAUGUUCUUGAUUUCCUUCGCUACCUUGACCAAUUUGGGAAGACUAAGGUCCACUCGCACGGUUGCAUCUUCUUUGGCCAACCUUCCCCGCCCGCACCCUGUGCCUGCCCUCUCAGGCAGGCUUGGGGCAGCCUGGAUGCACUCAUCGGCCGCCUUCGAGCCGCCUAUGAGGAGCAUGGUGGCUCGCCAGACACCAACCCCUUUGGUGCCGGAGCCAUUCGUCUCUACCUGCGUGAGGUGAAGGAGUGCCAAGCAAAGGCAAGAGGGAUCCCAUACAAGAAGAAGAAGAGGAAGAAGAAUAAUUAAAUGAAGGAGACUAGUACUCAUCAAACUGCGCAAGUCGUCAAUCAAGAAGGUCCUAAUUGAGAUGGGAUAUGGAUGGUAAGUUUUUUUCAUAUAUGUAUUUAUAAGAUAUAUGAUAUGGUGCAUGUAUAUUAAUUAUUGUUGCUUUAUAUUUUGAUUUAUCAGCUAGCUAUAGCUAGUAGCUACCUUCAACCUUGAAUGCUUGAAAUUUAAAGUGAUUAUUAACUCAUAUAUAAGAUUAACAGGAAAAAGUGAUCUGAUGAUCAGGAUAUUAAUUAAUUGGGGAAUUUGGAAGCCUUAACUAAAUAAGGUAGGAAAAGGUCAAGUAUGGAUGAGGAAUACAGCAGCCACCAUUUGUAGCAUGCAAAACCCUAGAAGCAGAAUCAAAACCCUAAUUUUGUGUUGUUGAUCAGAGAUGGUUUGCAGUGAGAAUCUUUUACUAGAGUAAAAUUUAGUGUCUCUCUCUCCCUCACUAAUUUCUUUCUCUCUCCUAUCAUUCAAAACACUGUUACUUCAGUUCCUUAAUUAAAUACGGUCACGGGUUUGCUUUAUGCUAAUUAUGGGCCUUUUCUGAUUCUCCUAGAUUUCUUUUGCUCCCCAUGGAUGUGUGAUUGUGUGAGCUUCAUCUUAUCAUAGUUUGCAUGUGUGUGAUUGCAUACACAAUCGGACGUAGAAACUAACAUAUAUUGAAAAUCUUGUCUCUUGUAUUAUUUUAAACAUAUACAUGUUUUAAUUAGUAUAACACAUGCACAAAUUCUCUUUAAUUUAAAACAUAUAUAUUGCCUAUUAAUUUGUACAUAGAUUUCCCUCAAAAAAAAAAUUUGUACAUAGAUUGUGUGGUCCAGAGAAAACUUUGUAACAUCAAAACCGUUUUUUAGCUCCAAAGACUUCAAUUAUUUUUGCACACAAAGCUUCAUUUUAUUCAGUGUUUAGAUCCGGUCCUUAAUUAGUCAGUGCAUGUAGACAUGGCCUUUUUAACUUGUCCCAUGACUUUUUGUCUAGAUUGUUAUAUACUUAUUGUCUCUUAUUAGUGGAAGCUGAGGGCCACUUUUCUAUAGUUACCUAUUAUGUUUAGAUUUCUUAUCCGCACCGUAGAAAACCUCAAAAAAUGUGAAAAGAAAUUUCUAUUAUUAGAAGAAAAGAAGGACUGAGAAAAUUUAAUUAAAUGUGAGCUUUGUAUUCAUAUUUGAUCUGUAGUGUCUAUAUCUAUACACAUGAUGAAUAUAUAGCAACUUAGGCUUCAAUAAUUUGUUGGCCUUAACAGGCAAUUAUAAUUAUCACUAAAAUUGCUUGAGGUUCCAGACCAAUAAGUGGUACAAUUAAGAGCUCACAUCAAUGGUAUAUAUCUAAAGUUCCGUUUGAGUACAAGAAGGUGACGUUAAAUCUUAAUUUAUUGUCACAGCAAGUUUUAGAUGUGAAGUUAAAGAGGUUUUCUUGAAUGUCUUUAUAUGUAAGUAGGUUCAUUAUGGGUUUUGGGACCUGUUGUGGGCUUCCAAGGCGAUUCCGAGGUGUAAGGAAAUGGUUUGGAGGGCGUGUACCGGGGCUCUUCCGUCGCGGGUUGCUUUAACUCGUAGAGGGGUGCCUAUCGAUGCCGCUUGUCCUUUUUGUGAUACACAAGUUGAGACGACAUCGCAUGCUUUGAUGGACUGUCCAGAGGUUCGUUGUAUUUGGUUUGGCUCACCAUUAUCGGUGAUGCCCCCUCUUGACGUUACUGGGUCAGGGCCCUCAUUGCAUGGCUCUACCAGUUCUUUAAGCUGAAGGAUGAAGCACUCACGGAGCAUGUUAUCACUUUGCUGUGGGUUAUUCGAUCUAGAAGGAAUUGGUGGGUUUUUGAGCAAGUGAAGUUUACUGCCGAGCAGA
RNAcentral lists this long non-coding RNA (42103 nucleotides) under Lotus japonicus. RNAcentral describes it as "long non-coding RNA (LJAP_LNC001917)". Lineage: Eukaryota; Viridiplantae; Streptophyta; Magnoliopsida; Fabales; Fabaceae. The record is from RNAcentral.